GGGGGUGUCUCGGAAUUCGACUGUCAGUGGAAGUUGAGGGUAGCAAGCCGUGGGUGAUGAUCGAGGCCACGUAAAAACGACCAUCAAACCCUUAUCUGCACACAAUGCGGAUUAUGUUCCCGCUCGCGCAGCGCUUGCUGCGUAAUUCAUGAGCGGCGCUUGUCGAUGAGUUCGCCCGAGACGUGUCGACAAGUGUCAUUCAAUUCGGGCUGGCGUUCGUGAUCCUCCGUAGCGACCGCAAGAUCUCAGGAGGUGCCACGGACUGAGGUGGUCGGAGACCGACAUGUCCGGAAAAGCCGAAAACUUGCCGACUAUGCUUGUAGACGCCCCGAUGGAAACUCGUCAGGACGCGGGUUCGAUUCCCGCCACCUCCACCA
Molecule: transfer-messenger RNA, 377 nt
Filed under: bacterium
Lineage: Bacteria
Also listed under: 2 other names
Description: UBA8110 sp002707655 Standard tmRNA
Rfam family: transfer-messenger RNA
About the family: Bacterial tmRNA, also known as 10Sa RNA or SsrA, is named for its dual tRNA and mRNA-like properties. Its role is to liberate the mRNA from a stalled ribosome.
Source: RNAcentral